GCGCGAGCUCGUGGGUCUGCGGGUUCUUGAAGAUGCCGGCCUCCGCCCAGCCGCCUGCCACGAAGAGCACCGCGCAGUCGGCCUGCACCGCGGGGAUACACAAACACACCGGGUUGCGGGAGGGGGCAUCGGACUGACUUUGGGAGGUUCCGAAUCCCAUUGUAAAGCUGGGGAAUGCCCUCCAGAACUCAGAUGGCCAAAUGGGAUUCAUGGACCACCCUAGAUGCGGUGCAUGGGGGUCCUGCUUCCCAGUUCCUCUCAUUUAAUCUCAUCUAAAUCAGCUUUUAGUCCCUUCUUUCUGGACCAACUGAUCUACUAGUCUGAGUGUAAGAAAACCUGGUCCCUCUAGGCCCCCCCAGGACAACAGGAUCUGAGCUUCAUGAGAGUGAUGGGACUUUCAGUCCUGUCCUCCCUAAUUCUUUCAGGAUUGAUGGAUGAUGGCCAUAGGUGAGGAAAAGGCUUACAAGCCUUAUGAUACCUUCCUUCUCCAAGCUUCAGAAAUAAAUCUUGAGUUUCCCCCUCUAUAGGAAUGUUUCUGAAGGCAUGGACUGCUUUACCUGGGAAGUGCCCCUGAUCAUGGUCAUGAUGAAGUCUCUGUGGCCUGGAGCAUCGAUGAUAAUGCUGUAAUCCUUUUCCUUCCCGUCUCCACAUGUCCAGAAGUUUGGUCCCCAUAAAAUUACAGUGGGCUGGGCACAGUUGCUCACGCCUGUAAUCUCAGCACUUUGGGAGCCUGAAGCAGGAGGAUCACUUGAACUUAGGAAAAGAAGGCCAGCCUGGGCAAUAUGAUUUAACCCAUCUCUACAAAAAAUUAAAAAUAGAGAAAAGAAAAAUUAGCCAGGCACAGUAGUGUGCACCUGAGGGGGCUGAAGUGGGAGAAUCACUUGAGCCUGGGAAGCAGAGGUUGCAGUGUGCCAAGAUCACAUGACUGCACUCCAUUCUGGGUGACAGAGUGAAACACUAAGUCCUCCACUGCUGGCAAGGUCACCAAGUUUGCAGCAAAAGCCAGCAAGAAAUGAAGCCCACCCUCCUCUCUGCAGUGUCCUCAGCUCCUCCUUCCCCCCCAAUAACUAAACAUUCAAUGAAUGUAUGUAUUUCCUAAAUAAAGUGGAUAAAACUUGACUAGCUGCCCUGGUUUCUUUCAAAGAAGAAAGCAUGGGUAGAUGGAGAACUUCUAGGCAGGAUAAUUAUUAUUUAAAGCCCAUAGGCUUCCCAGGGUCAU
RNAcentral lists this long non-coding RNA (1219 nucleotides) under Homo sapiens (human). RNAcentral describes it as "HSALNT0364376". Lineage: Eukaryota; Metazoa; Chordata; Mammalia; Primates; Hominidae. The record is from RNAcentral.